UACGGAAGGUGCAAGCGUUGUUCGGAAUGACUGGGCGUAAAGCGCACGUAGGCGGCCCGCUAAGUCGAACGUGAAAUCCCCGAGCUCAACUCGGGAACUGCGUCCGAUACUGGCGGGCUUGAAUCCGGGAGAGGGAUGCGGAAUUCCAGGUGUAGCGGUGAAAUGCGUAGAUAUCUGGAGGAACACCGGUGGCGAAGGCGGCAUCCUGGACCGGCAUUGACGCUGAGGCGCGAAAGCUAGGGGAGCAAACGGG
This 253-nucleotide ribosomal RNA is filed under the name uncultured bacterium. RNAcentral describes it as "partial 16S ribosomal RNA". It matches the Rfam family "Bacterial small subunit ribosomal RNA", at positions 524 to 776 of the family's 1533-position model. The record is from RNAcentral.